This 301-nucleotide ribosomal RNA is filed under the name uncultured bacterium. RNAcentral describes it as "partial 16S ribosomal RNA". It matches the Rfam family "Bacterial small subunit ribosomal RNA", at positions 509 to 807 of the family's 1533-position model. The record is from RNAcentral.
CAGUCGCCACGGGAAUACAGAGGGUGCAAGCGUUAAUCGGAAUUACUGGGCGUAAAGCGCGCGUAGGUGGUUCGCCAAGUUGGAUGUGAAAUCCCCGGGCUCAACCUGGGAACUGCAUCCAAAACUGGCGAGCUAGAGUAUGGUAGAGGGUGGUGGAAUUUCCUGUGUAGCGGUGAAAUGCGUAGAUAUAGGAAGGAACAUCAGUGGCGAAGGCGACCACCUGGACUGAUACUGACACUGAGGUGCGAAAGCGUGGGGAGCAAACAGGAUUAGAUACCCGAGUAGUCCCUGUCUCUUAUAC